AGAGUUUGAUCAUGGCUCAGGACGAACGCUGGCGGCGCGCCUAACGCAUGCAAGUCGAACGGAACCUGACGGUCUGAAGUUUUCGGAUGGACGACGGUCUGGUUUAGUGGCGAACGGGUGAGUAGCACGUGAGGAACCUGCCCUUCAGUGGGGGACAACAGCUGGAAACGGCUGCUAAUACCGCAUAAGACCACGGUACCGCAUGGUACAGUGAUCAAAGGAUCUAUUCGCUGAAGGAUGGCCUCGCGUCCGAUUAGGUAGUUGGUGAGGUAACGGUCCACCAAGCCGACGAUCGGUAGCCGGACUGAGAGGUUGAUCGGCCACAUUGGGACUGAGACACGGCCCAG
Molecule: ribosomal RNA, 347 nt
Filed under: uncultured bacterium
Lineage: Bacteria
Description: bacterial SSU rRNA
Rfam family: Bacterial small subunit ribosomal RNA
Source: RNAcentral